Molecule: long non-coding RNA, 2048 nt
Organism: Photinus pyralis (common eastern firefly)
Lineage: Eukaryota; Metazoa; Arthropoda; Insecta; Coleoptera; Lampyridae
Exons: 3
Source: RefSeq, a predicted model, not a curated record
GCGGGUUGUACUCUUUUCGUUUUCUCAUAAUUUGGGAAGUGCGACAUUAAAAUAAACUUAAAAAUAGGCAAUUAAAAGACGCGGAAAAUAGUUGGACGCCGUUCGUUUCGGUCCGUAAUACGUAAAUCGGUGUACAAACGUAAUUUAAGCUACGAAAAGUUAUGGCGUCCCUACUAACCUACUUUUAGUUCGAAUUUAAAUCGGCGUUUGCGUGCUGGAUCUCGGGACGCGAUCGCGGAAAUUUUCAUUUUGUUGUUAAAUUCAACCCUUAAAUUAAUAAAAACUGACGGGGAAGUGUUAGUAAAUCGGUCUUUUCGGUGUCAUUUGAAGAUUAUCAAAAUUUAAAUAAAAUGGCGUCCUAUUUCAAAUUCACUUGUUUGCGUUUAAAACUUAACGUUUUGUGCCCCAUUUUUCGUCUUUGGAAUCAAGAAGCCCAAGAUUUCAACGAUAUGUUGAUUUGGGUUCUUGAGGAACGAGGAAUUCGAGGAAGAUCUGCAGUGUUUCAUCUCUACUUUGGUUGAUGGUUCUUCCCGGGAGAGACUGAAUGAAUGAGGCUAAAGGAUUGCAGAAAGGCGGCCUCAUAAAGGUAGGAUUUUUCCUUUUCUGCAUGGUGUAUAGCAUGUCAUAUUUUUUGUAAGGGGGGGCAAAAGUGAAUAGUGAAUAUAUCAACAAGAUGGAAGAUCAACAAUUGCUCUUCGCUUGAGUUCCAUGCUAUAACCCUAUGCAAGUUGUAACAAUCUCCUUCUGUCACCCUGGUGACGUAGGAUUGGAUUAUUACACCUUCGUGUGUUAUUGCACGAAGUUCAGCUUAGAGGAAGGUAAGUGCGUGUUCAUAAUAUUAAUGAAUUAGUUCAUUAACCAAAAAAAGAAUUGUACUUGAACUCGCAUUACAAUGGUUACCUGAUUACUAAUCUCGUCAAUUGUUACAGCUCCAUCGACGUCACUUAACCUGAUGGUGAGGAUUACGCCUACCACCAGUGCUGGGUUAAGGGUUUCUGAGCUAGGGGGCUACCUACGAAAGCCUCCCCCCCCUCUCCCUUUUAACUGACAAGAAAAAAUUGAACAAAAAAUUAAAUUCCUUUGUUUAUUUAGAAAAAAAUUGUUGUACCACUUUUUUGGCCUUUUGAAAAUUUUCAAAUUAUUAUUUCUAUGCUUUUUCCCUUUCAUAUGAUGUACAGGUUGUUCGAAAAGUAUGGAAUAUCGUAUAUAUCUUGGUAAACAUCCACCUUUUGAAAAAUGUUUUCAUUUUUUUUAAAACAAAAGCGCAAUAGGUAAUUUUCUUAAUGACAAAGAUCAAUUGUUGCCAACUUAAUUGAUAUAGUUUUUUAUUCCUAUUCAUUUCUAUAUACUUUAAAUGGGUAUUUCGCUCACACAUGGAUGUCAACCAAUCUAAAUUAGUAACUUUUUACUUCAAGUUCAGGUACUACUUUGACAGUUCUAAGACGCAAUUUAAACAAAAUUUUUAUUUUUGUUUAAAAAAAAAUUAAAUUCCAUGUGAUAAAAAAUUUCAUAAACAAUAACUUUUAUUUGAAACAUUUUUUUUAUAAAAUGGAUAUUUACUACAAAGAUGUAUACUUUUCGGACACCCUGUACAUACACAAAGUCAUUUUCAAAAAUCUUUAAUCAAUCGUCAAGACUAGCAAUAAACAAUUGAACCAGAAACAAUAUUUUGAAACUUGUUGAUCCCUUAGUUUAUUUCUGGUUUGUACCAUUCAAUCUUUUUGGACAUACAUAUUAUUAUUAUUAUUAUAGUACUAGGGAUGGCCCCAGUCGGUUCCUGCAUUGCGACCUUGUGCUCCCCGGUAGUGUCUACUCUUCAAGAAUACCUGUGUCUUUAACAGAGUUCAGGAUAUUGAUAGUUCAAACCUUUGUUACUUCCCCUUGUGUAAUUUUCUUAUUUCCAAGUAGGCGUUCCCUAUUGCCUUUUGUGCUGGCGAUAUAUUAUGAGUAUUUUCAAAAUGCGACCGUCGCUGCCCACAUCUUCUGUUUGCUUUAUCCGAAUCGACCACGAACCAUCUCCGCCAGCAUAUUAAAUGCUUCUUGGUUAA